Molecule: ribosomal RNA, 453 nt
Filed under: uncultured bacterium
Lineage: Bacteria
Description: bacterial SSU rRNA
Rfam family: Bacterial small subunit ribosomal RNA
Source: RNAcentral
UACGGAAGGCAGCAGUGGGGAAUAUUGCACAAUGGGCGCAAGCCUGAUGCAGCCAUGCCGCGUGUAUGAAGAAGGCCUUCGGGUUGUAAAGUACUUUCAGUCGUGAGGAAGGUGUUAAGGUUAAUAACCUUAGCAAUUGACGUUAGCGACAGAAGAAGCACCGGCUAACUCCGUGCCAGCAGCCGCGGUAAUACGGAGGGUGCGAGCGUUAAUCGGAAUUACUGGGCUAAAGGGCACGCAGGCGGUUAAUUAAGUUGGAUGUGAAUCCCCGGGCUUAACCUGGGAAUGGCAUUCAAGACUGGUUAGCUAGAGUCUUGUAGAGGGGGUAGAAUUCCAUGUGUAGCGGUGAAAUGCGUAGAGAUGUGGAGGAAUACCGGUGGCGAAGGCGGCCCCUGGGACAAAGGACUGACGCUCAUGUGCGAAAGCGUGGGGAGCGAAACAGGAUUAGAUACC